UGCCAUCUUUUUUUCUCUAAGAAUUCUCAUGUUCAUUCCUUUCUCAGUUUCUCAUCCCAUUUUGCCGGUCGUUUCUCCUCUUCAUCGUUUUAUUUGCGUGUGUCAUAUUCAUAGAAUUUAGCAAAGAACCUGAUCCAGAUGCCAAUGACCUACUGGAUUAUAAACAUACUUCCCAACAAAAUCGAGAAAUAAUAGCUCUAUCAUCACAAAUAUAAAAGUCUCGGCAUGCAAAUUAACGCCAUUGAUGAAGGUGGGUCAUGGGUGAUUACCGGCUACAUCAAUUACGACAAAUCAAUAGUGUGGAUUAAGGGUAAAGAGGAUUAGAAGAAGAUCCUCCUCACUGAAGACAAGUAGCCAAACCUGGAGAACAACGGUAUAUAUAUAUAUAUGGUGAUAUGAUGACCAAAACGUAAUUCAAACGUUCAAGCAGUAUAUAUAUAUAUGGUGAUAUGAUGUAUACAGAGGAGGAAGGACGAAGACAAUUGUUGCAUACAAUAAAAUAGUUUUUUCCUUUUAAUAGUUUUGUCUGUACUUAGUUACUUUGUGUAAAUAUAUUUAUGUUUGUUUUUCUUUUAGUAAAUACGUUUUCCACCAAAUGUAAUUGUUUCUAUUUUUUUCCGGUACAAAGUACGGGUGUAAUACUAGUUGUUUAUAUUGCCAACUAGU
This is a long non-coding RNA of Camelina sativa (false flax), 666 nucleotides long. RefSeq lists it as uncharacterized. The record is from RefSeq and is a predicted model, not a curated record. NCBI's taxonomy places the organism in Eukaryota, Viridiplantae, Streptophyta, Magnoliopsida, Brassicales, Brassicaceae.